UGGGGAAUAUUGGACAAUGGGCGAAAGCCUGAUCCAGCCAUGCCGCGUGUGUGAAGAAGGUCUUCGGAUUGUAAAGCACUUUAAGUUGGGAGGAAGGGCAGUAAGCGAAUACCUUGCUGUUUUGACGUUACCGACAGAAUAAGCACCGGCUAACUCUGUGCCAGCAGCCGCGGUAAUACAGAGGGUGCAAGCGUUAAUCGGAAUUACUGGGCGUAAAGCGCGCGUAGGUGGUUCGUUAAGUUGAAUGUGAAAGCCCCGGGCUCAACCUGGGAACUGGAUCCAAAACUGGCGAGCUAGAGUAGGGCAGAGGGUGGUGGGAUUUCCUGUGUAGCGGUGAAAUGCGUAGGUAUAGGAAGGAACACCAGUGGCGAAGGCGACCACCUGGGCUCAUACUGACACUGAGGUGCGAAAGCGUGGGGAGCAAACAGG
Molecule: ribosomal RNA, 429 nt
Filed under: Pseudomonadota bacterium
Lineage: Bacteria; Pseudomonadati; Pseudomonadota
Description: Proteobacteria bacterium partial 16S ribosomal RNA
Rfam family: Bacterial small subunit ribosomal RNA
Source: RNAcentral